RNAcentral lists this ribosomal RNA (289 nucleotides) under uncultured bacterium. RNAcentral's name for it is "partial 16S ribosomal RNA". It matches the Rfam family "Bacterial small subunit ribosomal RNA", at positions 773 to 1060 of the family's 1533-position model. The record is from RNAcentral.
GUGGAUUAGAUACCCCAGUAGUCCACGCCGUAAACUAUGAGAGCUAGCCGUUGGAGAGUUUACUCUUCAGUGGCGCAGCUAACGCAUUAAGCUCUCCGCCUGGGGAGUACGGUCGCAAGAUUAAAACUCAAAGGAAUUGACGGGGGCCCGCACAAGCAGUGGAGCAUGUGGUUUAAUUCGAAGCAACGCGAAGAACCUUACCAGCCCUUGACAUGGUCGGACGGUUUCCAGAGAUGGAUUCCUUCACUUCGGUGACUGACACACAGGUGCUGCACGGCCGUCGACAGCU